This is a non-coding RNA of Ailuropoda melanoleuca (giant panda), 73 nucleotides long. The record is from Rfam. NCBI's taxonomy places the organism in Eukaryota, Metazoa, Chordata, Mammalia, Carnivora, Ursidae.
GCCUGGCUGGCUCAGUUGGAAGAGCAUGGGACUCAUGAUCUCAGGGUCGUGAGUUCAAGCCCCACACUGGGUG